RNAcentral lists this ribosomal RNA (305 nucleotides) under uncultured bacterium. Its description in RNAcentral is "bacterial SSU rRNA". It matches the Rfam family "Bacterial small subunit ribosomal RNA", at positions 337 to 657 of the family's 1533-position model. The record is from RNAcentral.
UCCUACGGGAGGCAGCAGUGGGGAAUAUUGGGCAAUGGGCGCAAGCCUGACCCAGCAACGCCGCGUGAAGGAAAAAGGCUUUCGGGUUGUAAACUUCUUUUCUCAGGGACGAAGCAAGUGACGGUACCUGAGGAAUAAGCCACGGCUAACUACGUGCCAGCAGCCGCGGUAAUACGGAGGAUGCGAGCGUUAUCCGGAUUUAUUGGGUUUAAAGGGUGCGUAGGCGGAAUGCCAAGUCAGCGGUAAAAUCGCGGGGCUCAACCUCGCUCCGCCGUUGAAACUGGCGUUCUUGAGUGGGCGAGAAG